This 1578-nucleotide long non-coding RNA is filed under the name Homo sapiens (human). Its description in RNAcentral is "HSALNT0219866". The record is from RNAcentral. Lineage: Eukaryota; Metazoa; Chordata; Mammalia; Primates; Hominidae.
GGCUGGCAUACUGCAUUUUUAUUAUUUUCCCUCACUCUGAGAAAGUUCUGGUACCUCUGAGUACUCAAGGGAAUCACUGCUGAAUCAGGUUGGAAAGCACAUAGGAAGAGCCUCUUACUUUCAGAUGUAGUUGUAUUGGUGCCUUAUAGUGGAUGAACUCCAAACCAACAUAUAAGAUGCUUGGUCUGUGUUACAUCAUUUAAAGGUGCAAGAAGGUAAGAGAAACUUUUCACAGGUGGCCACUCAGUUGCUACUGAGGUCCCCAAACUGUAAUUUUCUAGUCAUUGAAGAAGGUCAACUAAGUUGAUCACAAAAACUCUGAAAACUUCAAAACUCCCACAGACAAGAACAGACAUUUUUUAAAAAAUAUAUAUAUUAUCUUUAAAUACUCUUGAACCAUUUUAAUCAUCAGUGGACUUUGACAGGACAGAGCACAGUGGCCUUAACCACACUAUAUAAUAAUAGUUGAUUCAGAAAAAUACCAUCUGCCCCACUGCAUUCCUUCCCAGGCAGUUGGUGGCUGGAGAGCCAAGUGCUUAUGGUCAAUGCAUAAUUUUGUUGGUGUUCUGUUGCCUUACCACCAAAUAUGCAAUAGGGUGAUAACACAAUACGCUCAAAGAUAUUGCAAACCUAAGUCAGAUAAAAUCCCUCUUAGCAAUUUACUCCAGAUUUUUGAAAGAAUGGCUAGAUUCCUUACUUCAUGACCUCUUGGAGCUUCAUCUCAUUUCCAUAUGUAAUAACAAUGUUAUCUCACAGCUGCCUAACAUUUUACUAACUUCCCAAACCUUUUUUAAUUCUUACAAGAAUGCUAAAAAGAAAGCACCUCAUUGUAUAAGAGGACUCGGAAAAUUUAAGCAACUUAUCUGAGGUCACACAGGUAGUAAGCAGCAGAGCCAGGAGUUGGCCAGCCUAUAACUUCUAAUGAUAACUCUGGUGCUCUCUGCAUGGUAUCGUUAUUCCCUCUAGGUACCUGCAUCUGGGUGUUGGGCAGGCAACUCACACACCUCUCUUCUCAGGAAGCCUUACACUCACUAGUACUUGCUGUGGUCUUAGUGGGAUGCCCUAUUUUACUGGAAUUUCCUUUCCUCCUGUCCUUUUCCUUCCUUCCUUCCUUCAUUCCUUCCUCCCUCCCUCCCUUUCUUCUUUCCUCCCUCCUUCUUUCGGCCCUUCCUUGCUUCUUUCCUCCCUCCCUCUCUUCCUCCUCUUCCCUUCCUUCUUUCCACUUCUUUUCUUUUCUAUUUAUCCAAUUACAUAACACAUUUGUAUUGAGUACCUGAGUAUUGACAAUACACAAGGUACGUAAAUACCAAUUGCCAGGGAGACAAAAAUCAUAAGAAACCCAUCUUACCCACUUUUUUUUUUCCUUGACAGAGUCUUACCCAGGCUGGAGUGCAGUGGUGCAAUCUCAGCUCACUGCAACCUCCACCUCCCAGGUUCAAGUGACUCUUGUGCCUCAGCCACCUGAGUAGCUGAGAUUCCAGGCCGGCACCAUCAUGGCCAGGUAUCUUUUUUUUUUUUACCUCUCCAUCCUUAGAACUUCUUUUGUUCUUGGAACUGCAGUACAUGGUUAUAAUUAAA